RNAcentral lists this ribosomal RNA (468 nucleotides) under uncultured bacterium. RNAcentral's name for it is "partial 16S ribosomal RNA". It matches the Rfam family "Bacterial small subunit ribosomal RNA", at positions 28 to 507 of the family's 1533-position model. The record is from RNAcentral.
GACGAACGCUGGCGGCGUGCUUAACACAUGCAAGUCGAACGGAAAGGCCCUGCUUUUGUGGGGUGCUCGAGUGGCGAACGGGUGAGUAACACGUGAGUAACCUGCCCUUGACUUUGGGAUAACUUCAGGAAACUGGGGCUAAUACCGGAUAGGAGCUCCUGCUGCAUGGUGGUGGUUGGAAAGUUUCGGCGGUUGGGGAUGGACUCGCGGCUUAUCAGCUUGUUGGUGGGGUAGUGGCUUACCAAGGCUUUGACGGGUAGCCUGCCUGAGAGGGUGACCGGCCACAUGGGGACUGAGGUACGGCCCAGACUCGGACGGGACGCAGCAGUGGGGAAUAUUGCACAAUGGGCGGACGCCUGAUGCAGCAACGCCGCGUGCGGGAUGACGGCCUUCGGGUGGUAAACCGCUUUCGCCUGUGACGAAGCGUGAGUGACGGUAAUGGGUAAAGAAGCACCGGCUAACUACGUG